CAUCAGUGUAAGAUGUGACUUGCUUCUCCUUGUCUUCUGCCACGAUUGUGAGGCCUCCCCAACCACAUGGAACUGUGGAGUGUGUUACUCUUGGGGCUGGAAUGAGCAUGGCAUGUGCGGAGAUGGCACUGAAGCCAACGUCUGGGCCCCGAAGCCGGUGCAGGCUCUGCUGUCAUUGUCAGGACUCCUUGUGGGCUGUGGGGCUGGCCACUCCUUGGCCCUCUGCCAGCUGCCAGCUCACCCUGCAUUGGUCCAGGACCCCAAGGUCACCUACCUUUCCCCAGAUGCCACCAAGGACACUGAAUCUCAGGAAGCCAUGGACAAAGAGAGAAACUGGAAGGAAAGACAAUCAGAAACUUCAACCCAAAGCCAAUCUGACUGGUCCAGAAAUGGGGGACUGUGAUAGAGAAUCUUUAAUAAAGUGGCUUUUCUCACCAAAA
Molecule: small RNA, 440 nt
Filed under: Pongo abelii (Sumatran orangutan)
Lineage: Eukaryota; Metazoa; Chordata; Mammalia; Primates; Hominidae
Description: processed transcript
Source: RNAcentral